AAAAAGGUUAAAAGUGUGAUUUUUAAUAAAAAAUUAUUGGCACAAGUCCAUCAUUAUAUAUUACUUCAUACUAAUAUAGUAUCUUAGUAUCACAAGUUAGUAUAUUCAUAUAUUGAUUUUUUUUAUUGUCAUUAUAUAUAAUACUCUUAAUCAAUGAAUUAAUUUUCUUGUAGUGAAAUUGCUUAAAGACAAGUAAAACAUAGUAUUUGACCAAAUCUAAUGAUUAAGC
This 229-nucleotide long non-coding RNA is filed under the name Elaeis guineensis (African oil palm). RNAcentral's name for it is "long non-coding RNA (EGUI_LNC048928)". Lineage: Eukaryota; Viridiplantae; Streptophyta; Magnoliopsida; Arecales; Arecaceae. The record is from RNAcentral.